UAAAGGAAAAAAACAGCACCCCGCACGCUCAAUGCCUCCCCCGAUCCCAUCUCUUCCACCUCCAGAGCACCGCCACCUCCUGCCACGCCCCACCCCGCCUCACCGCGCACCGCCGGCCGCCGCCGCGCGCCCCUCCGGCACGCCUACCCCUACCCCAAGUGCCCCCACACCCGCGGCCUUCCACCGCCGGCGACAGUCUACCCUGACUGUGUCGCUCCCAAGCCACCCGACCCCAAAUCGCUCGGGUGUCGGCGGCGCUGGCAGCACAAGCAGCUGCCAUGAAGCUGCGCGCCACCCCCUUGCCCCCUUCACCUCCUUCCUCCCACUUGCACACAUGAGAAGGAAUUGAAUCAGAGUCGGUCCCUCAAUCUAAACCAGGAGGAGCGCCCAUUGAACAGGAUGGUGUGCAGGUCGCGGAGAGUUGCAUCGGCAAGUGUCAGCUCAUAUCUUGAAGUGCCAUGGAGCAAAGCUUGUGAGGAUGCAGGGGCCGUUGGUGGUGUUGGACUUAUCGCAGGUUGAACCACAUCUUGCUUUCCUUUUCUUUUGCCAAUCUGCUCUCUUGUCUCUCGGAGUCACAAAUUGGUCAUCCAUGCAUCUCUUCUUCUUAAUAGAUAUAUAACAUUGAUUUGAUUGGUAAUACUGAUGGCAGAUUGCUGCAAUUUAUUGAAUUUGAUCUAAUUUAUUUUGGGAUUGUUAAAUUUGUGAUUUUUUACAUACAAUCUAUGGAUACCUCAUGGAGAUCGGUCGAAGCAAACUAUUCUCAUCAGCUUCAGUAAUGUGUCUGAUGCCAUUUGGCCCAUAUGGCAGGGUUAACAUCAUCAAUGGCCUGCCCCAGUCGUCAGCCAGAUAGUUAUAUUGUGAAACACUUGACAAUGAAGCUCUCUGUCAACUAUUAAAGCAUUGACAAUUUCUAUCCUAAAGCUGAAUGUUUUUGUGGGCAAUUCGUUCGUAAAAGCAAUGGCAAGUGAGAACUACUAAAUCAUUGAGAGUCUCCUUGCCUCCCUCACGGGCUACACACGCUACAACCUGCUUGGAUGCAACAUGCUGGUCUUCCAAGGCCUACGUCAAGCACACCAGUGUUUCCAGGUUGUACGAGGCCCUGUAAACACUUAUAAUUUGAGUGAUGUUGCCACAGCCUGGCCUUGCUGAUGCGACAUGAGUAGUUUUUUCUAGCAAUCACGCACAUCUGAAGACUUACUGGACUACUUUCCGAACUGACCGGACGUGACAAGAUAGGCAAGCACAAAAGAGCUAGCUGAUUUAUUCACCAUACAAUUAUACUAUUAUUUGAAGGCACAAUUAGAUACUACUGAAAGUGUUGAUGUAUUGGUAUUGGCAGGUUUUGCCAGUACUUGAAAUGCCAUUUUAAGUAGAGGUAUUAGAAAUACGAAGUUCUAACUUUGUUCUUGUGGUAAUCUAAAAAUAAUUUGGUGAUUUCAAGUAGUUCUGAGAGUAUAAGUAUUAUCCCUUCUUUAAUAAUGGUAAGAGCAUAGAUCUCAUCAACUAGGAAAUAAUCCAUCAGGUAAGCAAAACACUGAAUAAUCACCAUUUGUAUGAAAUAGUACCUGCACAUAUUAUUUUUAAGAUGAAACAAGUUGGUUUGUUUACUAUGAGGAACCACCUUAUGGCCUUUGUGUAUUCCAGGAACUACCAAUGUAUCUUCCUAUUUGAUCCAAAAUGCAUACACACAUGAUUAUGAUGGAGAUACUAUCCGAACUUGCCAUCAACAGGAUUGAGCAAUGUGGCAUAUAAGCUUUAGCUUGCUGGUUCAGAUUAUCAGUGUUAAUCUUCUGGUUGUGGCAAUUUUUCAGACUUUUUGAGAGGGUGUCAUGUGUCAGAUGAGAGAGGCAACUGAUGUGGUUCUUUAUCAUGUUGCUGCCAUCGCAACCACAUGUUAAUUAAAGUGCAGGUACUCCAGUCAGUCGGGAGCUCUAUAAAUGAGGAAAGCGGAAAGAGCCAUGGCGUGAUGGCUACAUAUUCAUCUACCUUGACAACCUUUAAGUACCAACAGUUGAAUAAUCGUAGGUUUUAUUUGGAGAACAAAAAUAUAAGAUUUAAUGCUACCCAAUAUUUGUAAUUGAAAAAGAUAGAUUGUACGUGCUUUACAUUAUAUAGGUGGUUGCCUCAAUAUGUUUCAAGCUAGAGAAUAAUAUUUGUGUAUAGUCUGAUUUUGGUCUGUCCAUAUUUCAUACCUGUAACACAUGAUGGAGGAGCACGGAGCAGUCCUAAAUAUUGGUGGAUUACAUAGAUUCUGCAACUCCCUUAAAUCCAGUGUGCACUAAACUACUCCAAUUUCCAUUUUAUGGGAGAAUUUUGAGCUAGACUCCUGCUAUCUGUAGAUUUUGUCUUCCAAGUUAUGGAUAUCACAGUGCAUGUAUUCACCAUUGUGGUGUAGCCUAAUGAUACUUUCUAACUAUAUAUACAUCAUUGGUAGUUCAUAUCUUCA
Molecule: long non-coding RNA, 2446 nt
Organism: Triticum aestivum (bread wheat)
Lineage: Eukaryota; Viridiplantae; Streptophyta; Magnoliopsida; Poales; Poaceae
Exons: 6
Source: RefSeq, a predicted model, not a curated record